RNAcentral lists this transfer RNA (72 nucleotides) under Camelus bactrianus (Bactrian camel). It matches the Rfam family "tRNA". From Rfam's summary of the family: Transfer RNA (tRNA) molecules are approximately 80 nucleotides in length. Their secondary structure includes four short double-helical elements and three loops (D, anti-codon, and T loops). Lineage: Eukaryota; Metazoa; Chordata; Mammalia; Artiodactyla; Camelidae. RNAcentral also lists the same sequence under 2 other names. The record is from Rfam by way of RNAcentral.
GGGCGUAUAGCUCAGUGGUAGAGUGCAUGCUUAGCAUGUAUGAGGUCCUGGGUUCAAUCCCCAGUACCUCCA